GAUGAAGAACGUAGCAAAUGCGAUAAGUAGUGUGAAUUGCAGAAUUCAGUGAAUCAUCGAAUCUUUGAACGCACAUUGCGCCCUUUGGUAUUCCUUAGGGCAUGCCUGUUCGAGCGUCAUUUAAACCUUCAAGCUCAGCUUGGUGUUGGGUGACUGUCCGCUUCACCGCGGACUCGCCUCAAAAUUAUUGGCGGCCGGUACAUUGGCUUCGAGCGCAGCAGAAACGCGAACUCGGGCCCGUCGUAUUGGCUCCCAGAAGCUAUCUUCACAAUUUUGACCUCGGAUCAGGUAGGGAUACCCGCUGAACUUAAGCAUAUCAAUAAGCGGAGGA
RNAcentral lists this unclassified non-coding RNA (331 nucleotides) under soil metagenome. RNAcentral's name for it is "partial contains 5.8S ribosomal RNA, internal transcribed spacer 2, and large subunit ribosomal RNA". The stretch from base 1 to 119 matches the Rfam family "5.8S ribosomal RNA", at positions 35 to 154 of the family's 154-position model. The record is from RNAcentral.